GACGAACGCUGGCGGCGUGCCUAAUACAUGCAAGUAGAACGCUGUUUGAGGAGCUUGCUUCUCUGGAUUAGUUGCGAACGGGUGAGUAACGCGUAGGUAACCUGCCUGUUAGCGUGGGAUAACUAUUGGAAACGAUAGCUAAUACCGCAUAAUAGCAGUUGCUGCAUGACAACUGUUUGAAAGGUGCAAUUUCACCACUACCAGAUGGACCUGCGUUGUAUUAGCUAGUUGGUGGGGUAACGGCUCACCAAGGCGACGAUACAUAGCCGACCUGAGAGGGUGAUCGGCCACACUGGGACUGAGACACGGCCCAGACUCCUACGGGAGGCAGCAGUAGGGAAUCUUCGGCAAUGGACGGAAGUCUGACCGAGCAACGCCGCGUGAGUGAAGAAGGUUUUCGGAUCGUAAAGCUCUGUUGUAAGAGAAGAACGAGUGUGAGAGUGGAAAGUUCACACUGUGACGGUAUCUUACCAGAAAGGGACGGCUAACUACGUG
Molecule: ribosomal RNA, 495 nt
Filed under: uncultured bacterium
Lineage: Bacteria
Description: partial 16S ribosomal RNA
Rfam family: Bacterial small subunit ribosomal RNA
Source: RNAcentral